UUAGCAGCUGCACAAAGGCUUCAUCUAGAAUCCAGUAUUUUGCUCAGCAGGCUGCAGUGAAGUGGCUACCAAACAGCUGGCUCUGACCUCAGCACAGCCCUUCCAGAAGCAGGAGAUAUUCCAAAUUGUGGUUUGAGCUGAGGUAGUUUCCAGCACACGUACGGGCAGAGUCCAUGGUUUGGAGGAGAUGUAGAAAAUCUUCAGGGUCAGAAAAACUGAGAAUAAAGAUUAAAACACAUGUCUGGUAUCAUCCCAGCAGCAUGAAGCAUGGAAGGAUUCCUGAAACCGUUUGAAACAAGACAUACUGGAAUUCCCUAUUAGCAGAUAUCAGAACUGAAAUUCCAGAGCUCCAGAGGGGCAACCAGAAAUGAAUGCAGUAAAUUCCACUGUUACCUACAGAGACAGAUGUUUAAAAUGGCCACAUACACACAUAUGUAUAGGUAUAAAUGUUGCUUAUUCUAGAAUCAUCACCAUCAGAUGCCAUCUAUUCCAGAAAUAUCUACUAACAAAAUAGCACGAGUUCAUCAGCAAAAUUUAGGGGAUACUUUCAAAUAUCUGCUUGGCUUUAGCACCAUGGAUUUUCUGGUAUUUAAUGAAGUAGAGUUUUCCUUACAGUUCUGCCAGGGAAAAUCAACUGAAGGAAUGGAAAUUGUAACCUUAAAGGCAUUCGUUCAGGGCUUGGUUAAUUUCACUAUUUUCUUAUUCUUUCCUGACAAUUUUUACAAUGCAAGUCUGCAACAAAACAAAAGCAGCUUUAAUGGUAAGAAUAAAGACUACAUAAAACAACAAAUUUUCCCUGAAGCAGCUUCCCCAAGCCUUGUUUAAACUUCAUUUCUCCAUGUAUGGCUUUUUAAUAGGAUUUAACAGAACUAGCAGUACUUUUCCAUCCUGAAAUUCUCCCUAAAUUUCCCUGGGUUGCCUAGGAUUACAGUGUUAGAAGGGCACCAUGAGUUUCUGCAGACAGCUCUUUCCCCAAAGUAAAUUCUCCAUUCUCCAAUUUUACAUUUCUCCAUGGUAAAAUCUCAGAAAAAUGACAAUCACUAUUACAAAAAUCAUACAGGUUUGUUACACUGAGGAAAUUAAUUAAGUGGGAAAAAGCUUCCACAAGGUAAAAGUCAACAUAAAAUUAGUACCAUCUCUGGCGAUGCAGGGUGGAAACAAAACAGGUCUCUUUUCCCUGAUUCUGCUAUAACUUAGAGAAAAUAUAGUGGUUCUUUAGCCAUAGCUCUUACUAAAGGACCUAACUCCAACUUAUACCUAAGAUGCUUUAUGCCCACAUGACAUAACAAAUUUUGAAGUAGCCUAGACUGAGAGAAAAGUGCCCACUGCUUGGUGAUGCAGUCAUGCAGCCUUGGAAUGCCUUCACUGGAUUUGUUAAUGGAAAGCCCUGACUGGAGGAAUGCAGGUGUAGAACACUAUCGAUCCCCUACUACAAAAAAAAAAAAAAAAAAAAAAAAAAAAAAAAAAAAAACAGGAUUAAA
Molecule: long non-coding RNA, 1481 nt
Organism: Onychostruthus taczanowskii (white-rumped snowfinch)
Lineage: Eukaryota; Metazoa; Chordata; Aves; Passeriformes; Passeridae
Exons: 3
Source: RefSeq, a predicted model, not a curated record